UUAUUAGGAGUGUGGUUUUUUUUUUUCUGGGUUUUGUUUGAUUUGACCUGAUUUUUGCUUUCAGUCUUUAUUGAUUCUACUGGCAAAUUUUUGUUCAGGUGCAGGAAUCUAACUUUGUUUUCUUAACAAUUACAACAUCCGAGCCUUAACCCCAAACUAGUUGCUUUUUCUGUGCCUGAUGAUUAACUGGCUUGAUCUGUUGUUGAUUUCAAUCUGGACCCUAUUCGUUGUUCAUUGAUAUUAUUAUUACUACUUAUUAUACUUAGUUUCUUUAAUUUAAAAUAUCAGUUGGAGUUGCUUGUUGAGCUUGAGCAUGAUAUGAUCUGUGUUUGCUUGUUCGAAGAUUUAAUUCCUUUGUAAUUUCUGGGAAAUUCUACGCGUAGAAUGUAUUUCUUAUGUUCAUGUUUAUUUGUCAAUUUUAUUAACUUUCAUUUGAGAAACCAUGUCAAAA
RNAcentral lists this unclassified non-coding RNA (451 nucleotides) under Hevea brasiliensis (rubber tree). The record is from RNAcentral. Lineage: Eukaryota; Viridiplantae; Streptophyta; Magnoliopsida; Malpighiales; Euphorbiaceae.